RNAcentral lists this ribosomal RNA (253 nucleotides) under uncultured bacterium. Its description in RNAcentral is "partial 16S ribosomal RNA". It matches the Rfam family "Bacterial small subunit ribosomal RNA", at positions 524 to 776 of the family's 1533-position model. The record is from RNAcentral.
UACGGAGGGUGCGAGCGUUGUCCGGAAUUAUUGGGCGUAAAGGGCUCGUAGGCGGUCUGUCACGUCGGGAGUGAAAACUCGGGGCUCAACCCCGAGCCUGCUUCCGAUACGGGCAGACUAGAGGUAUGCAGGGGAGAAUGGAAUUCCUGGUGUAGCGGUGAAAUGCGCAGAUAUCAGGAGGAACACCAGUGGCGAAGGCGACUUCCUGGCCUGUUCUUGACGCUGAGGCGCGAAAGCUAGGGUAGCAAACGGG